This 766-nucleotide long non-coding RNA is filed under the name Cyanistes caeruleus (blue tit). Its description in RNAcentral is "lncRNA (ENSCCEG00000013691.1)". The record is from RNAcentral. Lineage: Eukaryota; Metazoa; Chordata; Aves; Passeriformes; Paridae.
GACAGCGGCUGCUCAGGCACCCGCACGGACCCCGUCUCGGACACCCGGGCAGGGCUUUUUCAAUUUCAAACAGCUGCGAAUAAUGAGAUGCCUUUCAUUCGGGGUUGGGUUCUUUGCCCGUUUUCCAUUGCAGUUGCAAGUUCUUAAAAAGUCAUCUUUAUGGAAAGAAAAAGUUAUCGUAGAUAAGAAGAUCCCCCUAAUGAUCUGGAAAGCAAGGCAUAAAUGAAGGUGAUUAUGAAGGUGCUUUGAAUGUGCAGAGGUUCACAUAAAAUAUUAUAGCAAUGUAUUUGGUUUAUUCAGUGUAAAUAUAAAUAAGCAUCUUUGUUUGUGUAUUAUAAAAAUACCUCUCCUUUUAGAAAUUAUUUUCUGUGAUUUUCUUCCCCUUUAUGUCAGAUGAACACGUAACAUGAGUGGUACCUUUCAGCUGUUGUAGGAUAAGCAGUACUUCAGAGCUACUUAGGAUGUCAGUUAAGAUAAGACAAAUCAUCAGAAAGGAAAACAAGACAUAUUUUUGAAGGUCAAGUUUCUAUUUUUAUGGUCAUUUCAUAAUGAACAGUAAAUUUUGCCUCAUAGUUAUAGGUUUGCUUGGGUGAUUUGUCAUACUUGGCAGUAGUAUGUCAGGUACAACUUAAAGUAUUUGGAGAUUAUCCACAUGAACUUAGAGAAAGAAAUGACAAAACAGGAGGGAAAUAAUUUCACGAUUAUUAGCCAUACUCUUUUCUGGGUCGCAUUUUAAGUGUAUGAACGCGUUAGUGAUUAUAGAUCU